UAUGCAUAGCAGUUAAUUUCUUCAUAUUAUAUCGAAGUUUCAUUUAUAAUUGCUCUAGAGGCAGUCCUUUGCAAGGACCUUUACAAUAUGGCACAUGCAUGGGUCGACCCGUAAGCAUUUCAUGCGGUGUUAAGUGCAUGUUCCUGUUAGUUUGCAUGCGAUAGCUUAUUAGUGCAAGAGGUAAAGCAUUAAUCCAAUUAAAUUUAGUACUUUGACAUAUUUUGUUUACUUUGGCCUUGAUAGUUCUGUUUAAUUUUUCUUAUCACUUUGUUCUGUUUCAUUUGUUUAAUUUUCCUCAUAAUUUUCCUUAUCAAUUCUCCUUAUCAAUUCCCCCCUCGCGCAAUGGUCAAAACCAUGCGCAUCUGCAACAAGAAUAUUCAUAAGUUAAGUAGGUGCAACAAUGUUUCCUUCAUGUGUACGCCAGAUCUCUUGUUAGUCUUUUUUAGCUUCCCUUCUGUUACACAUUUAUUGUUCAUAGGGGCCUGCUUGUUGUUUAAUUCGAAUUAUAUAAUCCAAUUGAGUUUGAGGUUCAAUAUGUACUACAGGUGCUAAUAUGGCUACCUGACACCCUAAAGCUUUUUUAUCUUCAACAUCCACUGUAAUAUAUCCCUUAAUGACACUGUUUACCUGUAUAUGUAAACAAAUACCUUCUCUCUUCUGCAAGCAGCACACUGUAGUAAACUAAAUAAAGAUCAGUUAUGGUAAAAUAUUUGGCAUCAGUAGGGACAUUCAUCAGUAAUGUGUGCGGGUUUGGAACUUCAACUGGCAAAUUAUUUCAUUUAUUAUUUAUAAGUCUUUUUCAUCGUUCAUCCUAUAUUUUUUGUUUCCCAUUUUUUUCUACAUAUUCUGCAAUAUGUCGGACAGAAUUAGUUAUUAAAAAUAUUAAUUUUAACAAAUUCACCAUCGGGUAUUUAUAGCUGCUCCGUUUACCUGUUAUAAUGUACUUGGAGACACAAUUUGCUGUCCUUUGGUUUCUUUCUGCCAUUUUUGUUCUAUUUUCUCAUCUCUCUGUUAAUCAUUUAUCAUUGUGCAUUGAAAUUCUGAUUUUAGUAGCUGUGCUUCAGGAAUCUGUUCUUCAAUAAACACAGACCCUUACAUGCAAUGCAUUUAUGGCUACACCAUUUAGUCUUAAUUUAGGUCACCUAUCAAGGCCUUUCUAACAUUAUAUUAAAUAUGUGCAUGCAAUUUUUCUUCUGGAAACAAA
Molecule: long non-coding RNA, 1204 nt
Organism: Cyprinus carpio carpio
Lineage: Eukaryota; Metazoa; Chordata; Actinopteri; Cypriniformes; Cyprinidae
Source: Ensembl